AUGACGAAGGGAACGGGCAGCUUCGGCAAGCGCCGGAACAAGACCCACACGCUGUGCAUCCGCUGUGGCCGCCGCAGCUUCCACCUGCAGAAGAGCACCUGCUCCUCGUGUGGCUACCCCGCCGGCUGCAUCCGCAAGUGUAAGUCCCGCCGCCAGAUCCCCUUCCCCUAUCUUAGCAUGCGAUUCGAGUCCUUCUGCCUAGCUGCUUUAGGCAGAUGUGGUGCUUGGUUCCUGCGCGAGGCCGUGAUUUCUGAGGGUUUCGAUGUUGUUGUGGUAGCCCCAUCGCUGUUGCCUUGA
RNAcentral lists this ribosomal RNA (297 nucleotides) under Triticum aestivum (bread wheat). RNAcentral describes it as "partial small subunit ribosomal RNA". Lineage: Eukaryota; Viridiplantae; Streptophyta; Magnoliopsida; Poales; Poaceae. The record is from RNAcentral.